Molecule: transfer RNA, 71 nt
Filed under: Takydromus sylvaticus
Lineage: Eukaryota; Metazoa; Chordata; Lepidosauria; Squamata; Lacertidae
Description: tRNA-Gln
Rfam family: tRNA
About the family: Transfer RNA (tRNA) molecules are approximately 80 nucleotides in length. Their secondary structure includes four short double-helical elements and three loops (D, anti-codon, and T loops).
Source: RNAcentral
UAGAAGAUAGUAUAGUGGGAGUACGGGGGUUUUUGGAACCUCAAAUGUGGGUUCGAGUCCCAUUUUUCUAU